AGCAGCAUGGCGCAGUGGUAGCGCGCGGGGCCCAUAUCAUCAUAUGCUACCCCGAGGUCACUUGAUCGAAACAAGUUGCUGCUA
This is a non-coding RNA of Arthromyces matolae, 84 nucleotides long. The record is from the annotation of a GenBank genome assembly. NCBI's taxonomy places the organism in Eukaryota, Fungi, Basidiomycota, Agaricomycetes, Agaricales, Lyophyllaceae.